RNAcentral lists this ribosomal RNA (430 nucleotides) under uncultured bacterium. RNAcentral's name for it is "partial 16S ribosomal RNA". It matches the Rfam family "Bacterial small subunit ribosomal RNA", at positions 354 to 796 of the family's 1533-position model. The record is from RNAcentral.
GUGGGGAAUAUUGCACAAUGGGCGCAAGCCUGAUGCAGCAACGCCGCGUGAGGGAUGACGGCCUUCGGGUUGUAAACCUCUUUUAGUAGGGAAGAAGCGUAAGUGACGGUACCUGCAGAAAAAGCACCGGCUAACUACGUGCCAGCAGCCGCGGUAAUACGUAGGGUGCAAGCGUUGUCCGGAAUUAUUGGGCGUAAAGAGCUCGUAGGCGGCUUGUCGCGUCUGCCGUGAAAACCCAGGGCUCAACUCUGGGCGUGCGGUGGGUACGGGCAGGCUAGAGUGCGGUAGGGGAGAUUGGAAUUCCUGGUGUAGCGGUGGAAUGCGCAGAUAUCAGGAGGAACACCGAUGGCGAAGGCAGAUCUCUGGGCCGUAACUGACGCUGAGGAGCGAAAGCAUGGGGAGCGAACAGGAUUAGAUACCCGUGUAGUCC